RNAcentral lists this ribosomal RNA (253 nucleotides) under uncultured bacterium. RNAcentral's name for it is "partial 16S ribosomal RNA". It matches the Rfam family "Bacterial small subunit ribosomal RNA", at positions 524 to 776 of the family's 1533-position model. The record is from RNAcentral.
UACGUAGGGGGCAAGCGUUGUCCGGAAUCAUCGGGCGUAAAGCGCGUGUAGGCGGCUCGAUAAGUCUGCUGUGAAAGUCCAGGGCUCAACCCUGGGAUGCCGGUGGAUACUGUCGAGCUCGAGUCCGGAAGAGGCGAGUGGAAUUCCUGGUGUAGCGGUGAAAUGCGCAGAUAUCAGGAGGAACACCAAUGGCGAAGGCAGCUCGCUGGGACGUGACUGACGCUGAGACGCGAAAGCGUGGGGAGCAAACAGG